Ovis aries (sheep) is the source of this 73-nucleotide transfer RNA. It matches the Rfam family "tRNA". From Rfam's summary of the family: Transfer RNA (tRNA) molecules are approximately 80 nucleotides in length. Their secondary structure includes four short double-helical elements and three loops (D, anti-codon, and T loops). The record is from Rfam. Lineage: Eukaryota; Metazoa; Chordata; Mammalia; Artiodactyla; Bovidae.
UCCCUGGCAGUCCAGUGGUUAGGACUCUGGGCUCCUACUGCCAGCAGCUCAGGUUUGACCCCUGGUUGGGGAA